This 2364-nucleotide long non-coding RNA is filed under the name Nicotiana tabacum (common tobacco). RNAcentral describes it as "long non-coding RNA (NTAB_LNC008125)". The record is from RNAcentral. Lineage: Eukaryota; Viridiplantae; Streptophyta; Magnoliopsida; Solanales; Solanaceae.
UCACUUUUGUCUCUAUACCCUCUCACAAAGAAACCCUAGCCGCUCUCUUACCCCUCGCCGGCUCCGCCUCUCUCCACCGCCCGGAAAUCGCCUCAUGGUGGCGGACCACCUCCAAACUCCACCAAAUUAACACCCCAUGACCGUCUUUACAUCCUCUUUCCAAAUAUCACCACGGUUCCCUUCGAAUCGGUCUCCAACCCCUCGAAUCUUAGAUCUGAGACCCCAGAAACCCUAACUUUCCCUUUUCAAAUAUUGGUCAGUGUUGGGUCAUAUGAACCCGAGACGUCCAUUAGUCGAUUGUUCUUGUUAAGAACAGUCGAUUAAUUGUUGUAUAAGUUCAUAUUUUCCCCUUUAAAACCGGUCAAGUUCGUGUCUGGCUAUUUCAACAUGAACUUGAGGUAGUUCCUUUUUCCUUUUCCUGUUAUUUUUAUCUUUAUCUCCUUUCCUCUCUCAUGAUUCAUUCUCUUUGUUAAACCCGCAUGAGUUAGUUUUAAGUUCUUUAUUGCUUUUUUUUUUGGAAUUUGCAUGUUUGUUUCAUAGUUUAGAUCAAUUAAAGCAUGCUGAAUGCCCUAAGUGUUUGAAGUUUAAUUUCAAUUGUCUAAGGUUAGGAUAAUUAGGUUUAAUUUUUUAGGGUUUUGGUAAAAAUUUGACUGUUCUGUUUUUCUUUUGUGUUUUGUUUCCCUCUUAUAUUUGUUUGCUUGAUAUUCGUUAUUUAGUUUGAAAUUGAUUAGAAUAGUUUUAGGAGUUCAAUUUAUUUGGCCAAUCUCUGACUAGUCAUUAGAAAACCUUAGCUUUAGUUAAUCUGUUUAAUUGCAAACUAAUUAGGUCAAUUUCUAGGUCUCUUUGCAUUAGCAUUCUGUUUAGUUACUGUUUAGCUACAAGUUUAAAAUUUAGUGUUUAUUCAAGAUUAAUUAGAUGAACUUAUCAAUUAGGUUUAAAUGGUUAGAAUUAAAGCUUAGAUACCUUAGACUUUAGGAUAAUCUCAUAAAUGAAGGGUAAAUGCCCCAAGGUUCUAAGUUGUUACAAAUUGAAGCAAACUUAGAAACACUAAUCACUUAGCUGGUUCUAGAAGGUCCUAAAGGGAUUUCUGGAAUCAAAAUAGGAUCAAAAUAUAGGUUGAAACUGAAAUAUUUAGUAAAUGAAAGGGUAAAACUGGUUUUACAUAAGGUAAAAAUCAGAAGGUUCUAGCAUUUUGUACAGUUGUCCCCAUUUCUAGCAUGAAAAAGGUUGGAAUUGGGCUGAAAAAAGGACAGACAGUUGUUCAAAUAUGUUGUACUAUCUGACAGUUAAGGAAUUUAGGGUAGAAUAUGCCAUUUUGAUGCUAUUAUGGCAUACAAUAUAAAAGGAAAGUUAUUCCUUCAUUCUAGAUGGAGUUCAUUAGCAUAUCUUGACCUAAAAAAUUUCAGAAUACAAAGAAAAAAUCCCUGAAACUUUUCUGGCUAAAAACUUCAAUUUUCUAGUUAGAUUUGUAGGCUAGUUUUUCUGGUACUCUGAUUUUUGAGGAGUUUGAGUGGUCGAUCCUUGAUUUUCUGGGCUGUUUUCUACUGCUGCUGUUGGUUUUGGUUGUUGCUCCAUCUCUAAGAUUUCAGCCAGCAUUUUCACUUGUUUUCCUGUUGAUUUUACUUGUUAAGGUACUGAUUUUAGCUCUCUUAAUGUACUAUUUUGUUUGAAUAAGAUCACAAGUUGCAAAUUAUAUGUAAUGAAUGAGUGUUCUUUCAUGUAGUAUUUGAUUAAUUUGUUAUAGAUCUAGUAAAUUUUUACUAUGUGAGUUUAAGUGUAGAAAUGAACUAGCAUGAGCACUUUGUUUGGUUUACUAAUACUUGUAAUUCCCUCUUUGAAAAUGGCCAAGUCUGAAAUUUUUAAGUCAAAAUCUUAUACUGAUUUUGAACUUUGAUUGUUGAAGUUGUCUUUCUUUUUUCUUCUACUCACAUGAUAAUAACAUAGUGCUUUGUUUGAGGUAAUGUGGCAUAUGGGCUAUAAAUUGUGGGUUUAGCCACUAUUUGGCCAAAUCAGCAUGUGUUAAAGCCCAAAAACUGGAUUUGUUGUUGUUAUUGUACUGAAGUUGAGAGCCUCAUAUUGGUGAACUAAGCUUGAUGGAUCAACUAUAUCCAAAGGGAGUGGGUGUUCAUUAGGCUGUCAGUUUUUUUCCAAAAAUUGUAAUAGGAUUAGCUGGUGUAUUCUUCUCAUAGAAUUUUAAUGUAAUAGAUCAGUCAUCAAUAUAGUAGUUUAUGUAUUAAUGAAUCAUAAUGUAAAUUUCUGACUUUUGAAAGCUUUUAGUUUUGCCUAAUGUACUGUAACUAAUUAAACUCUGAGUUUACAUAUUGUGGUUAAAACCACUACGGUUAGGAACUUGUUAAUUAAUUA